AAUUUUUAUUUAUAUUAAAAGUUAAAAAUUAAAAGUUAGCACAGUUAAUAUCAUUUAUACCCUUAAUAAAUAAAUUAAAUAAAUUAGAUAAAAUAAAAAACGAAUUUAGUGUUUAUUUGAUUAGAUAAGUGUUUACAAUUAAUAAAAAUAAAAAUUAUCCAUAACUUAGAAAUAUAUUUAAAAUAAAAAGAUAAUUCUUAUAUAUAUUGUGUUGUUAUCCUUUUUUGGAACAAUAUUGUGUUGUUAUGCAAAAAUAUAUAUUUUAAUAAAAUGGUUAAAAGUUUAAAAACAGAAAAUACAUAACUAAAUAUUAAGUAAAAUUAUUAUUUUUUAUAUAAUUGAAAGAGAAUAUCAAGUGAUCUCUAAGAUUUAUAUCUUAUUUAUUAAAAAUGAAUAUAGUGCACAAAGGAAUUUUAAAAAUUUCUAAUACAUAAGAAUUUUCAAUGAAAACAUAAAUAACAAUUUAAAAAUAUUUUUUAAUUAGUAAUACAUGUAUUAAUAAGUAGUUAUAAAUCUCUAUGCCCGCACGUGCGGGCGAAACACCUAGUUUAAUAGUAAACUGAUUAAAUUACUUCAAAAUCUAAACACUUUAUCUAAUAACCUUACCCCUUAAAUAUAAAAUCUUAAACCAAUCAAUAAAAUAAAAAUCAAAUUAAAAACAAUUCUUUAAUAAAAAUAAUAAUUAAUGUUAUUUUGAGAAUUUUUUUUCCUUUUUGUGUAUAUUUAGCAAAACAAUGUUGGAAAAAUACCUUAGAUAUCAGUACAGUGCGGUUCUGGACAGACGUCUGGCAUCCUAGGGGAAGGCUGAUUGAAUUUGCUGGUGAGAUUGGUACACAGAGGUUGGGUAUCAGAAGAGAUAUGAAGAUUAAGGAUGGAUUUCGUGAGGGAGCGUGGAGGUUUCACAGGUGUAGGGAUCCUUUUCUUUGUUCUAUGAUCGCCGAGAUUGAAGCUUCAAACAUAUGUCUUACUGAUGGUCGUGAUGUGGUGCUAUGGAAGCGAUCGAGGAGUUGAUGAUUAUGUCUCGAAAUUUGUCUCCUCUGACACUUGGAAUCAGAUCAGACAGCUGAGAGAUAGAGUGAAUUGGAGUAAGCUGGUAUGGUUUUCGCAAGGGAUCCCUCGCUAUGCUUUCAUAACAUGGCUGACCAUUUGAGAUAGACUCUCCACAGGUCAUCGUACAAGUAUUUGGGGACAACCACAGUGCUGUGUUUUCUGCGGGGAGCCGGAUGAGACAAGAGAUCAAUUAUUUUUGCUUGUCCCUAUAUCUUUAUGACAUGGCUGAGGUGGUAGGGAAUCUGUUUGGAAGGGAGCCUGACCCAGACUGGGACACAACUCUGUCUCGCCUGCUCAUGGGUUCGUUUGAUCGUCACACUUUCAUCUUUGCAGGGACGUAAUGUUGUGAUGGAGCAAAGUUGGGGUGAUCCUAAAGUCAAGAACGUGGGUGCCAGUCUUGUCAAGCUAGUUGCUAAUGCUAGUAGUGAUGGUACGUACACUGCACUGCUCUUCAGUUGAUUCAAUUGCCUUGCUUGUUUCUUUAUUGCUUUCGUAUGGAUAGUAGUUGAUUGUGAUGAAUGUGUGUGAUGAAUGAUGGUUAGAGUUAGGUUGUAGUUAGUGAAUGCUGGUUAGAGUUAGCUUGUUUUAGUAUUAGAUUAUGACUGUCUGCUAGGUAAUUAGGUUAGUCCAUGGUAUAUGUCAAUCUAAUAUAGUCCAAGGUUAAUAUAUUCUAAUUCAAAACUCAUUAAUCUAGUAAUUUUAUCAUCCAGCCGUGUGACGAUCAAACGAACCCAUGAGCAGGCGAGACAGAGUUGUGUCCCAGUCUGGGUCAGGCUCCCUUCCAAACAGAUUCCCUACCAACUCAGCCAUGUCAUAAAGGUAUAGGGACAAGCAAAAAUAAAUGAUCUCUUGUCUCAUCCGGCUCCCCGCAAAAAACACAGCACUGUGGUUGUCUCCAAAUACUUGUACGAUGACCUGUGGAGAGUCUAUCUCGAAUGGUCAGCCAUGUUAUAAUAACAUAAAAUUUAAGUAGCUCUGAAUGUCAUUAGUAAUUUUUUUUUUUAAACUCUAAAUUAAAAACUAUCAUUAGAGAUACAAAAUCGCAUAGUUUCUUAGCUAGAGUUCUUAAAUCCAUUUAGGUACAUUUAUAUAAUUAAAUAAUGGUUAAGAAAUACAUAAGGGUUUCUGUGGAUAAUCAUGAUCUUAACGAUCAAACCGGUUACAAACCGGUGUCUUGCAGAUUACAUGAGAUUGAUGCAUGUGCAGACUUUCAUAGAAUUAUGUUAUUAUUAUUUUCUUUUUGGGUCAACUUUUAGGGUGAAUUUCCUGUAAGUAUAAUAUCGAAGCAUCUUUAUAUAUAAAAGAAGGUUUGUAUCUCUCCUGAGGGCUCCACGUCGGAAAAUCGAUUUCUGUGCUUGCGACACGUGUCCAGGCCUCUUUCGGAUUUUACGGUUCAUGCCACUCUUUCUUCUCCGCCGUUCCAGAGUUUGAUCGCGUCGUUUGAUCUUCGUUUUAACAAUCCAAAACGCCUCCGGUUACAGAUUCAUCGCGUUAACCCCUUUUUAAAUCCAUCAACCACGAUCUAUCAUUCAAUUCGAGAUUCUCUUAGGCAAGGCGGUGUAUCUUCAAGUAUAAAAAGUGUUCUUCACUAGGUGAUAAACAGAGCAUCAGAUGGAGGACUACCACCUCUUUAUGUGGCUGCUCUGGAGCGACACAUAGAGACAGACAGUGCAGUUACUUUGGAUUUGGGAGCUUUUGUUGCUCAGAUCACUGCCACAAUAGAUCGUAGAGGUUAUUCUUCUAAAGGAGGUGGUUGCUUACCAUUUUGAUGAAAACAAGAGAUAGAGCUUUGAGAGAAUGGUUGGUAGAGAAAACUGGAGAAAACAUAAACGUAAAUUUUGGUUCUGGAUAUCCUAGAGGUAUACUAUGUUUAUUCCUCAAAUCUUUUCCUUUUAGUAACUGUUUGUACAGUAAUAUGCUUGUCAUACAAUUUAGAUCCUGAGACAGAGGCAUGGUUAAAGCAAAACAAACAUUUUGUGUGAUCCUCCUCCACCAAGCGAAUGCAUAUGAGAUUAUGAAUGUGAAUGAAAAUACCAAACGGUUGGCCUCGGAAAAUAAGUUACAUGGAAUCAUUUUUUUUUUUGUUGCUCUUCAUUCUCUCAGUCACUUAGCACCUGAUAACUAAUUUGUGUACAAUUAUAUAUUUGAAAAGGUUUCAGCAUGAUGUCUACGUUAUGUCACAAUUUUGGUGAGCUACUAUUCUACCUUCACAUCUGGAAAGCAUGAAUUUCUCAAUUUUUAAGGUCAUAUUUUCCCCAUCCGAGUUUAGUUUCUUCUUCCAAAAUCAUGAAAACUUCUUCUAUUAAAAAUCUACAUCAGCUAAUGGUAUUUUAAAUAGAUUGUGUGAGGGUGCAGCAACAUCAUAGAAGUUUGCUGGAGGGAUUUACAAAGACUCAAGUGAGCACACUUGCAGUGAGGGUGAAAUUAAAGUUGAUGUCAUACAUUUUAGAUUAUGAAUGUGAAUGAGAUGCGAAGUUUGGAGGUCAUAGAGAAACACCAGAUGAAACAAGAGUGACAAGGAUAAAGGAAGAAGACAAUUUGUUCCCAUCAUUUGUGUGUCAUUCGUAUAAUUUAAUAAACAGAGGUGAUCUAAGUUUUAUUGAUAAUGAAACUUUGAUGAAUAAUAUUUAUAUUAAUACCAUAUUUGUCUGUCUUUCUAUACAAGAUGAAUAAAGAAGUGUGUUCAGACAAUUAUUGAGCACUUAAAUUCGAUAAAAAAAUGGUAAUCACAAUCAUCAGUCUCAUGUUAUACAGAAAUCUAAAACCCAUUCGAAUUAUAUAACAUAUCCACUGAAAAACUUAUUCAAAACAAUGCAGGAAAAUUAGUGUGCUAAUAACACUUAUUCCAGUGAUAUUACUAAAACUUUAAAAGGAAAAUUGUAAUAUAAAAAAGGUUGCUAAAAAAAACAUAUAUAAGAGGUUCUUUACCAAAAUAGAUAAGAGGUCAAGUUAAAUACGACAAAUAAGAAGACCAAACUACAUUCCUAUUUUUAGUGCUUUACUCAUUUUUUUAUUUCAAAAUUAUAAAUAUUUUAUAAUAACACAAAUUGUAGGCGAAGGUAAAAAUAAUUUUGUAUUCCAAAAGAAAAAAAAAGAGUUUUAUGUUCAGAACUUACAGCAAACAACCAUAUGAAGCUUUUGAAAAUAUUCUGACAAUUUUUUUAAAAAAUAUAUAUACAGACUAUUCUAAGAGUUUUAAUAAAAAUGAAAAUACAUUAGAAAAGAUAUCAUAAUUUAACGAGAAAUUGCUUAAAAUCCCAUAUUUUAGAUACCAAAACCCAAAUCUUAAUUAUUAUUUUUAACAAAACAUUAUUUGAUUUAUUUUUAAUAAUCUAUUUUGAUUCUACAAUAUAAGAUGUUGAUUAACAUGUAUUUAUCCCUUUAAUGGGAGUCAAUAGGAGAAUUCAUAUACCAGCGAUACACAAAUAUAUAUUACCAGCGCUUAGUAUCUAAUAUCUAUAAUGUCUCAUAUCUUCAUUCUUGGAAUAUGGAUGAUGAAAAACAAGAAUUUCAUAAAAACUAAUAAUAUGUAAAAAUGAUAUUUAUAGAAAAAUUUAGUUUUUCCAUGAAAGUAAAAAUAGUCAUUCGUAUAUUCUGAUGGAAGCAAUAUAUAUAUUGAUAAAAAAAAUUAAAAAGGUGAUCGUUGUAGUAGUUAACAAUUGAUAUUAAAUCUACAGUGAAGCUAUUAAAUCAAAUUUUGAAUAAUUAUUUAGUUUAACAUGGUUAUAUUUAGUUGUAAACUAUUUUCCGUACAUUUUUGUAAUCAUUUGUAUUUUGUUAUAAAUAUCUAAACAUCAUUCACUAAAUUUCAAUGAGAAUUUAACAGCUUAUUAGUUUAUAAUUAUUUUUCAAGUCAAAACAACAUAUACUAAAAAAAAAGAUAAAAAACCCCUAAGAUUUUUCCUACAAUUUAUUCUUACAUCUCAAUCAAAACUUACAAGAUAUUACUGAAUAUUAGAUGCACCACAUAAGUUAUUAUAUGAUAAUAACUUCCACAACGACGGCAUAAUUACCUACUUAAGAGUAAAAUAUAAGCAAAAUAUAUAAUAUAUAUAAAUCUAAAAUUUAAACCCGACAAAGCAUUUGACUGUUUGUCACUAUCAGUGCAUCGUUGAUUGGUUUAUUUCAAAUUUAACCUGCCGAGCAUGUUUGAGAUAUAAUACUUUAGUAUUAUUAUUUUUGGUUUACCUGACUAACAAUUAACCGACCUGUUAAUAAAUUUUACUCAUAUAUUUACUUAAUCUAUAAUUACAUGUUCGUUUCUUUCCUCACUAGAUUCUUUAAAUUCAUCCAACUCCAGAAAAUUACCAAAAAUGAUGUGAUGGUACCAUUAAAAAAUAAAUAAAUAAAAACUACUUAUCAAGACAGUAUGGUAUAUUUAGUCUUCAAAUACAAUAACAUGUACAAAAUUUAACUAAUAUGUAUAUUUUAAGAUAUAACGAUUUAUAUCAAAUAUUUACUGUAACUAUUUAUAUUAUU
Molecule: long non-coding RNA, 5529 nt
Organism: Brassica rapa (field mustard)
Lineage: Eukaryota; Viridiplantae; Streptophyta; Magnoliopsida; Brassicales; Brassicaceae
Source: RefSeq, a predicted model, not a curated record